CAUAUCAAUAAGCGGAGGAAAAGAAACUAACAAGGAUUCCCCUAGUAACUGCGAGUGAAGCGGGAAAAGCUCAAAUUUAAAAUCUGGUGGUCUUUGGCCAUCCGAGUUGUAAUCUAGAGAAGUGUUAUCCGCGCUGGACCGUGUACAAGUCCCCUGGAAUGGGGCGUCAUAGAGGGUGAGAAUCCCGUCUUUGACACGGACUACCAGGGCUUUGUGAUGCACUCUCAAAGAGUCGAGUUGUUUGGGAAUGCAGCUCAAAAUGGGUGGUAAAUUCCAUCUAAAGCUAAAUAUUGGCGAGAGACCGAUAGCGAACAAGUACCGUGAGGGAAAGAUGAAAAGAACUUUGGAAAGAGAGUUAAACAGUACGUGAAAUUGUUGAAAGGGAAACGCUUGAAGUCAGUCGCGUCUGCCAGGGAUCAACCUUACUUUUGUGAGGCGUACUUCCUGGUUGAUGGGUCAGCAUCAGUUUUGGUCGCUGGAUAAAGGUCAGAGAAAUGUGGCACCUUCGGGUGUGUUAUAGUCUUUGAUCAGAUACAGUGGCUGGGACUGAGGAACUCAGCGCCGCAAGGCUGUCUUAGGAUGCUGGCAAAAUGGCUUUAAUCGAC
RNAcentral lists this ribosomal RNA (605 nucleotides) under Pleurotus pulmonarius. RNAcentral describes it as "eukaryotic LSU rRNA". It matches the Rfam family "Eukaryotic large subunit ribosomal RNA", at positions 39 to 648 of the family's 3401-position model. The record is from RNAcentral. Lineage: Eukaryota; Fungi; Basidiomycota; Agaricomycetes; Agaricales; Pleurotaceae.